GAUGAACGCUGGCGGCGUGCCUAAUACAUGCAAGUCGAGCGAACAGAUAAGGAGCUUGCUCCUUUGACGUUAGCGGCGGACGGGUGAGUAACACGUGGAUAACCUACCUAUAAGACUGGGAUAACUUCGGGAAACCGGAGCUAAUACCGGAUAACAUAUUGAACCGCAUGGUUCAAUAGUGAAAGGCGGCUUCGCUGUCACUUAUAGAUGGAUCCGCGCCGUAUUAGCUAGUUGGUAAGGUAACGGCUUACCAAGGCAACGAUACGUAGCCGACCUGAGAGGGUGAUCGGCCACACUGGAACUGAGACACGGUCCAGACUCCUACGGGAGGCAGCAGUAGGGAAUCUUCCGCAAUGGGCGAAAGCCUGACGGAGCAACGCCGCGUGAGUGAUGAAGGUCUUCGGAUCGUAAAACUCUGUUAUCAGGGAAGAACAAAUGUGUAAGUAACUGUGCACAUCUUGACGGUACCUGAUCAGAAAGCCACGGCUAACUACGUG
This 497-nucleotide ribosomal RNA is filed under the name uncultured bacterium. RNAcentral's name for it is "partial 16S ribosomal RNA". It matches the Rfam family "Bacterial small subunit ribosomal RNA", at positions 28 to 507 of the family's 1533-position model. The record is from RNAcentral.